RNAcentral lists this long non-coding RNA (831 nucleotides) under Daphnia pulex (common water flea). RNAcentral describes it as "uncharacterized LOC124195663, transcript variant X1". Lineage: Eukaryota; Metazoa; Arthropoda; Branchiopoda; Diplostraca; Daphniidae. The record is from RNAcentral.
UCCCCCACUAGGUGCCACUGCAGUUUAAUAACAACAAUGGCUGCCAUUCCCCACAUUGAUUAGUGUCGUGUCUGGUAGUUGUUGUUUAGUGGUCCGUCUUUCACGUUUCGAUGCAAUAUUAGGUGAACAUUUUGUAAUGUUUUUUUUUAGCAGAUUGAGUAUUACCAACCUUCGUCGUUGGGUAUUGCUGGCAUAUUUAAAGUUAGCCCAGUUAAAGUGUGGUUUAAGGGAGUAUUAACUGAACCUGAAGAAAAGUCGCAAGUCACCAUGUAUCUUGGAGAAAAUAUUGCGAGGAAACGUGAAAGGGUCGUGGCCGUGUGCAGCCAACCGUUAACUAUUCUGUUCAAAAUCAUAGUAUUCUACUGAAUGUGCCAUCGAAAUGAUACAGAUCACCAACGGCCCAGCAUAGACCAAUCUCUCAUUUCAUCUUUCGAAAGAAGAUUGGAUAACUGAUCGGUGGUUUCAUGUGCAAGUUCACUGAUCAUGUCACUGAACUUUUUCUGUUGCAGUCUAAUAUGUAUUCAAAGUUCUAAACUCCAGGUUUCUAAAUUUGCAUGGCAGACUUUAUGAGAAGUCAUGUCCUUUCAAGAAAGUCAACAAGAUUCCUUGUUUGCUAACCCGUUGGCUGCUACCCUUGAAUCUCCCUUUAUACUUUCUUAAGCGGGCCAUCUUUAUUUGAGGGAAAUUCUUCGCUACUUGUCAUAGGCUUCAUCCACUGGUGAAAACAACGAGAGAAUGCUGCAAUCCAAGACUGAUAAAUUGUUUAAUCGUUAGAUUAAAUGACAAGUGCAUAUCUGGGCUCCCUUCUUUUCUGUGGCCCCGUUUCCCUAA